AGACGAAGGAUGCAAGCGUUAUCCGGAUUCAUUGGGUUUAAAGGGAGCGUAGGCGGUCUUAUAAGUCAGUGGUGAAAUCCUAGAGCUUAACUCUAGAAUUGCCAUUGAUACUGUAGGACUUGAGUAUAGUUGCUGUGGGCGGAAUAUGACAUGUAGUGGUGAAAUACUUAGAGAUGUCAUAGAACACCGAUUGCGAAGGCAGCUCACAAAACUAUAACUGACGCUGAGGCUCGAAAGUGCGGGGAUC
RNAcentral lists this ribosomal RNA (247 nucleotides) under uncultured bacterium. Its description in RNAcentral is "partial 16S ribosomal RNA". It matches the Rfam family "Bacterial small subunit ribosomal RNA", at positions 523 to 769 of the family's 1533-position model. The record is from RNAcentral.